This 468-nucleotide ribosomal RNA is filed under the name uncultured bacterium. Its description in RNAcentral is "partial 16S ribosomal RNA". It matches the Rfam family "Bacterial small subunit ribosomal RNA", at positions 28 to 507 of the family's 1533-position model. The record is from RNAcentral.
GACGAACGCUGGCGGCGUGCUUAACACAUGCAAGUCGAACGGAAAGGCCCUGCUUUUGUGGGGUGCUCGAGUGGCGAACGGGUGAGUAACACGUGAGUAACCUGCCCUUGACUUUGGGAUAACUUCAGGUAACUGGGGCUAAUACCGGAUAGGAGCUCCUGCUGCAUGGUGGGGGUUGGAAAGUUUCGGCGGUUGGGGACGGACUCGCGGCUUAUCAGCUUGUUGGUGGGGUAGUGGCUUACCAAGGCUUUGACGGGUAGCCGGCCUGAGAGGGGGACCGGCCACAUUGGGACUGGGUUACGGCCCGGACUCCUACGGGAGGCAGCAGUGGGGAAUAUUGCACAAGGGGCGGAGGCCGGAGCCAGCAACGCCGCGGGGGGAAUGACGGCCUUCGGGUGGUAAACCGCUUUAGCCGGUGACGAAGCGUGAGUGACGGUAAUGGGAAAAGAAGCACCGGCUAACUACGUG